AAUAAGUGCAGUUUUGCACUGUUCAUGACCAAUAUUUGACCGUUUGUUUUAUUUAAAAUUUUUUAUAAGUAUUAUUUUUUAUUGUUAUUAGAUGAUAAAGCAUGAAUAAUACUUUAUGUGUGACUAAUUUUUUUUAAUAAAAUUUUCAAAUAAGACGGACAGUGAUCAAACGUUUGGAUAUAGAUAUUCACGGCUAUACUUAUU
This is a non-coding RNA of Oryza glumipatula, 204 nucleotides long. Lineage: Eukaryota; Viridiplantae; Streptophyta; Magnoliopsida; Poales; Poaceae. The record is from Rfam.